GAUGAACGCUGGCGGCGUGCCUAAUACAUGCAAGUCGAGCGAACAGACGAGGAGCUUGCUCCUCUUACGUUAGCGGCGGACGGGUGAGUAACACGUGGAUAACCUACCUAUAAGACUGGGAUAACUUCGGGAAACCGGAGCUAAUACCGGAUAAUAUAUUGAACCGCAUGGUUCAAUAGUGAAAGACGGUUUUGCUGUCACUUAUAGAUGGAUCCUCGCCGCAUUAGCUAGUUGGUAAGGUAACGGCUUACCAAGGCGACGAUGCGUAGCCGACCUGAGAGGGUGAUCGGCCACACUGGAACUGAGACACGGUCCAGACUCCUACGGGAGGCAGCAGUAGGGAAUCUUCCGCAAUGGGCGAAAGCCUGACGGAGCAACGCCGCGUGAGUGAUGAAGGUCUUCGGAUCGUAAAACUCUGUUAUUAGGGAAGAACAAAUGUGUAAGUAACUAUGCACGUCUUGACGGUACCUAAUCAGAAAGCCACGGCUAACUACGUG
This 497-nucleotide ribosomal RNA is filed under the name uncultured bacterium. Its description in RNAcentral is "partial 16S ribosomal RNA". It matches the Rfam family "Bacterial small subunit ribosomal RNA", at positions 28 to 507 of the family's 1533-position model. The record is from RNAcentral.